UGUCCCAUGCCUCCAUUGUUGCCAUUCAGGUAGUGUGGUAGGAAGAGGGAAUGGAGCAUUGAAGGGAAAUGAAAGAGGCAUCAAGGAAAGGGCUGGAACCAAGAGGCAGCUCUCUCCCUACUGGAGCGGCAUUCCCCCACUACGAAAUGGUCCCUGGAACAAGACUUCUUAACCGAGCAGGGAGCCACGGGACCACUGAGGCCGAACCGAAGAUGGCUUAGAGCGGCUGUGCUUGUUUUUAUAAAUAAAGUUUUAUUGGACACAACCACACCCAUUCCUUUAUAGAUGG
Molecule: long non-coding RNA, 289 nt
Organism: Suricata suricatta (meerkat)
Lineage: Eukaryota; Metazoa; Chordata; Mammalia; Carnivora; Herpestidae
Exons: 3
Source: RefSeq, a predicted model, not a curated record